RNAcentral lists this ribosomal RNA (936 nucleotides) under uncultured bacterium. RNAcentral's name for it is "bacterial SSU rRNA". It matches the Rfam family "Bacterial small subunit ribosomal RNA", at positions 56 to 965 of the family's 1533-position model. The record is from RNAcentral.
UGCAAGUCGAACGAGAAACUACCUAGCUUGCUUUGUAGUUUCUAGUGGCGAACGGGUGAGUAACACGUGAGCAACCUGCCCAGAAGCAGGGGAUAGCCCACCGAAAGGUGGAUUAAUACCGUAUGUGAUCCCGCGUAGCAUUGCGCGGUGAUUAAAGCUGGGGAUCUUCGGACCUGGCACUUCUGGAUGGGCUCGCGGCCUAUCAGCUAGUUGGUGAGGUAAAAGCUCACCAAGGCGACGACGGGUAGCUGGUCUGAGAGGAUGAUCAGUCACACUGGAACUGAGACACGGUCCAGACACCUACGGGUGGCAGCAGUCGAGAAUCAUUCACAAUGGGCGAAAGCCUGAUGGUGCGACGCCGCGUGGAGGAUGACAGCUCUAGGGUUGUAAACUCCUGUCAUGAGAGAGUAAAGGCUUGCCAUUAAUAGUGGUUGGGUCCUGAUAGUAUCUCAAGAGGAAGGGACGGCUAACUUCGUGCCAGCAGCCGCGGUAAUACGAAGGUCCCAAGCGUUGUUCGGAAUCACUGGGCGUAAAGCGAGCGUAGGCGGCAUGGUAAGUCAGAUGUGAAAGCCCGGGGCUCAACCUCGGAACUGCAUCCGAUACUGCCAAGCUAGAGUAGUGGAGGGGUGUAUGGAAUUCACGGUGUAGCAGUGAAAUGCGUAGAUAUCGUGAGGAACACUAGUGGCGAAGGCGAUACACUGGACACUAACUGACGCUGAGGCUCGAAGGCUAGGGUAGCGAAAGGGAUUAGAUACCCCUGUAGUCCUAGCAGUAAACGGUGUGCGUUUGGUGUGGGCGGGUUCGACCCCGUCCGUGCCGGAGCUAACGCGUUAAACGCACCGCCUGGGGAGUACGGUCGCAAGACUAAAACUCAAAGAAAUUGACGGGGACCCGCACAAGCGGUGGAGUAUGUGGCUUAAUUCGAUGCAACGCGAA